UGAAAUCUGGCCCUCGUGGUCCGAGUUGUAAUUUGUAGAGGAUGCUUUUGGUGAGGUGCCUUCCGAGUUCCCUGGAACGGGACGCCAUAGAGGGUGAGAGCCCCGUCUGGUUGGACACCGAGCCUCUGUAAAGCUCCUUCGACGAGUCGAGUAGUUUGGGAAUGCUGCUCUAAAUGGGAGGUAUAUGUCUUCUAAAGCUAAAUACCGGCCAGAGACCGAUAGCGCACAAGUAGAGUGAUCGAAAGAUGAAAAGCACUUUGAAAAGAGGGUUAAAUAGUACGUGAAAUUGUUGAAAGGGAAGCGCUUGUGACCAGACUUGAGCCCGGUUAAUCAUCCAGCCUUCUGGCUGGUGCACUUGGCCGGCUCAGGCCAGCAUCAGUUCGGCGCGGGGGAUAAAGGCUUCGGGAAUGUGGCUCCUCCGGGAGUGUU
Molecule: ribosomal RNA, 429 nt
Filed under: Cosmospora flavoviridis
Lineage: Eukaryota; Fungi; Ascomycota; Sordariomycetes; Hypocreales; Nectriaceae
Description: partial large subunit ribosomal RNA
Rfam family: Eukaryotic large subunit ribosomal RNA
Source: RNAcentral